Molecule: long non-coding RNA, 865 nt
Organism: Astatotilapia calliptera (eastern happy)
Lineage: Eukaryota; Metazoa; Chordata; Actinopteri; Cichliformes; Cichlidae
Source: Ensembl
GGAAAUUCCUCUUCAUGCACAAUUACUCAAAUUUAUGUAACAGACAGUGCAGAGUACUGGUGUGAGGAUAAAGGGGGUCAGAGGAGCAACAGGGUCAACAUUACGAUAACUGAUGGUUCUGUGAUCCUACAGAGUCCAGUUUUCCCUGUUUUUGAGGGAAACAACGUGACUCUCCGCUGCAUAAGCAAGACAACUCACACCAACCAAAGAGCAAAUUUCUACAAAGACGAUGGCCUCAUAGACCGGAGCCCUUCUGACAACAUGGAAAUUAACAGUGUUUCCAGGUCUGAUGAAGGACGAUACAAGUGCAGCAUUUCUGGUGUUGGAACAUCACCAGAAAGCUGGCUUCAUGUCAGAUCAUAUUCUUCAGCAGAGACCCCGUCAGAUGACUCCAAUUCCACUCCUGACUUAUUCCUGCUGUGGAUUGUGUUUCCUAUUUUAGUGAUAAUAUUGACACUGCUGGUAGUCGGAUUUCUUAAUACUUGCAAACACAGAGUUUCCUCAAAGACAUCAUCAGCGACAAACUCACAUGGAGACCAUCCAGGAGAUGAUGACAUGUUAUAUUCUAGAGCCAUUUACACCACCUUACGCCAGGUUGAGACUAAACUCAAAGGUCUCAAAAAGAGCUGAAUGAAGACAAAAAUCACAUCUGAGAGAAAUUGACAUCGAUGAUGUAAUCCACAUUUAUCACAUAUUGUUAUUGCAAAUGAACAAGCUGUACAUCAUCUGCUGGGUAUAUAACUGAACUACAAAGAACUAUAAGUAUAAAGUUUACAUGCUAACAAACGCUUCUGAAGUUGAAUUUAAAGCACUUGUUGCUUCUGCUCUUUUUGUUUGUGCAUGAAUGCUGUUCAAAACAAAAUAA